GACGAACGCUGGCGGCGUGCUUAACACAUGCAAGUCGAGCGGUAAGGCCCUUUCGGGGGUACACGAGCGGCGAACGGGUGAGUAACACGUGGGUGACCUGCCCUCAGCUCUGGGAUAAGCCUGGGAAACUGGGUCUAAUACCGGAUAUGACUCCAUGACGCAUGUUGUGGGGUGGAAAGCCUUGUGCGGCUGAGGAUGGGCCCGCGGCCUAUCAGCUUGUUGGUGGGGUGANGGCCUACCAAGGCGACGACGGGUAGCCGGCCUGAGAGGGCGACCGGCCACACUGGGACUGAGACACGGCCCAGACUCCUACGGGAGGCAGCAGUGGGGAAUCUUGCGCAAUGGGCGAAAGCCUGACGCAGCGACGCCGCGUGAGGGAUGACGGCCUCGGUUGUAACGU
Molecule: ribosomal RNA, 400 nt
Filed under: uncultured bacterium
Lineage: Bacteria
Description: bacterial SSU rRNA
Rfam family: Bacterial small subunit ribosomal RNA
Source: RNAcentral